RNAcentral lists this ribosomal RNA (408 nucleotides) under uncultured bacterium. RNAcentral's name for it is "partial 16S ribosomal RNA". It matches the Rfam family "Bacterial small subunit ribosomal RNA", at positions 28 to 526 of the family's 1533-position model. The record is from RNAcentral.
GACGAACGCUGGCGGCGUGCUUAACACAUGCAAGUCGACAUGAGUGGCGAACGGGCGAGUAAUAGGAGGGUAACCUGCACUCCUUUUCGGGAUAAGCCUUGGAAACGGGGUCUAAUAUCUAAGAAAGGGGGAUGGGCUCGCGGCCUAUCUGUGUGUUGGUGGGGUGAUGGCCUACCAAGGCGGUGGCGGGUAGCCGGCGUGAGAGGGUGACCGGCGACAGUGGGACGUGGUGACGGCCCAGACCGCUACGGGAGGCAGGCGUGGGGGAUAUUGCACAAUGGGGGAAAGCCUGAUGCAGGGACGCAGCGUGGGGGAUGAAGGGUGUCGGGUUGUAACGCUCUUUCGCAAUCGAACGGGUAGGUGGAGAAGAAGAGCCGGCUAACUACGUGCCAGCAGCCGCGGUAAUAC